UGCCGUGGGUGUAGGAGACUUGAGAAGACUUGCCCCUAGUACGAGAGGACCGGGGUGAACGCUCCACUGGUGGACCAGUUGUCGUGCCAACGGCAGUGCUGGGUAGCUAUGAGCGGACAGGAUAACCGCUGAAGGCAUCUAAGCGGGAAGCCCCCUUCAAAACUAGGUCUCCCUUGAGGGCCGUGGAAGACCACCACGUCGAUAGGCCGGAGAUGUACGCGCAGCAAUGCGUUCAGUUGACCGGUACUAAUUGCCCGAUUGGCUUGAUUUG
Molecule: ribosomal RNA, 271 nt
Filed under: Paracoccaceae bacterium
Lineage: Bacteria; Pseudomonadati; Pseudomonadota; Alphaproteobacteria; Rhodobacterales; Paracoccaceae
Description: Rhodobacteraceae bacterium (activated sludge metagenome) partial 23S ribosomal RNA
Rfam family: Bacterial large subunit ribosomal RNA
Source: RNAcentral